Molecule: ribosomal RNA, 253 nt
Filed under: uncultured bacterium
Lineage: Bacteria
Description: partial 16S ribosomal RNA
Rfam family: Bacterial small subunit ribosomal RNA
Source: RNAcentral
UACGGAGGGUGCAAGCGUUAUCCGGAUUUACUGGGUUUAAAGGGUGUGCAGGCGGGCUUUUAAGUCAGUGGUGAAGUCUCCGGGCUCAACCUGGAAACUGCCAUUGAUACUAUUAGUCUUGAAUUUUGUUGAGGUAGGCGGAAUAAGUCAUGUAGCGGUGAAAUGCAUAGAUAUGACUUAGAACACCAAUUGCGAAGGCAGCUUGCUAAACAAAUAUUGACGCUGAGGCACGAAAGCGUGGGGAUCAAACAGG